UCCGUAGGUGAACCUGCGGAAGGAUCAUUACCGAGUGCGGGUCCUCACGAGCCCAACCUCCCACCCGUGUUUACCGUUACCGCGUUGCCUCGGCGGGCCCACUGGGGCCUGGCCCCGGUCGCCGGGGGGCUUCUGCCCCCGGGCCCGCGCCCGCCGACGCACCCUAGAACCCUGCCUGAAUAGUGAGUCUGAGUGAGAUUUGAAAUCAUUAAAACUUUCAACAACGGAUCUCUUGGUUCCGGCAUCGAUGAAGAACGCAGCGAAAUGCGAUAAGUAAUGUGAAUUGCAGAAUUCCGUGAAUCAUCGAAUCUUUGAACGCACAUUGCGCCCCCUGGCAUUCCGGGGGGCAUGCCUGUCCGAGCGUCAUUUCUGCCCUCCAGCACGGCUGGGUGUUGGGCGCUGUCCCCCCGGGGACACGCCCCAAAAGCAGUGGCGGCGCCGCGUCGGGUCCUCGAGCGUAUGGGGCUUUGUCACCCGCUCGGGAGGGACUCGGUCGGCGCUGGUCUUCCCUUUAGGCCGCCCUUCGGGGUGCGCCUCUUCCGGCUGACCUCGGAUCAGGUAGGGCUACCCGCUGAACUUAAGCAUAUCAAUAAGCGGAGGAA
This 602-nucleotide ribosomal RNA is filed under the name Talaromyces variabilis. RNAcentral describes it as "eukaryotic LSU rRNA". The stretch from base 213 to 366 matches the Rfam family "5.8S ribosomal RNA". The record is from RNAcentral. Lineage: Eukaryota; Fungi; Ascomycota; Eurotiomycetes; Eurotiales; Trichocomaceae.